This 108-nucleotide small RNA is filed under the name Vibrio sp. THAF64. Its description in RNAcentral is "Qrr RNA". It matches the Rfam family "Qrr RNA". From Rfam's summary of the family: This family represents a set of small RNAs (the Qrr RNAs) that are thought to be involved in the regulation of quorum sensing in Vibrio species. It is believed that these RNAs, guided by a protein, Hfq, can mediate the destabilisation of the quorum-sensing master regulators LuxR/HapR mRNAs. RNAcentral also lists the same sequence under 2 other names. The record is from RNAcentral. Lineage: Bacteria; Pseudomonadati; Pseudomonadota; Gammaproteobacteria; Vibrionales; Vibrionaceae.
UGACCCUUCUUAAGCCGAGGGUCACCUAGCCAACUGACGUUGUUAGUGAACCGAAUUUGUUCACACUUAUUUGAGCCAAUCUUACUUAUUGAGAUUGGCUUUUUUUCU